Molecule: ribosomal RNA, 373 nt
Filed under: uncultured organism
Description: partial 16S ribosomal RNA
Rfam family: Bacterial small subunit ribosomal RNA
Source: RNAcentral
GUAGGUGGCAAGCGCUGUCCGGAAUUAUUGGGCGUAAAGCGCGCGCAGGCGGUUCUUUAAGUCUGAUGUGAAAGCCCACGGCUCAACCGUGGAGGGUCAUUGGAAACUGGAGAACUUGAGUACAGAAGAGGGAAGCGGAAUUCCACGUGUAGCGGUGAAAUGCGUAGAGAUGUGGAGGAACACCAGUGGCGAAGGCGGCUUUCUGGUCUGUAACUGACGCUGAGGCGCGAAAGCGUGGGGAGCAAACAGGAUUAGAUACCCUGGUAGUCCACGCCGUAAACGAUGAGUGCUAAGUGUUAGGGGGGUUUCCGCCCCCCUUAGUGCUGCAGCUAACGCAUUAAGCACUCCGCCUGGGAGUACGGCCGCAAGGCUG